This 74-nucleotide transfer RNA is filed under the name Massariosphaeria phaeospora. It matches the Rfam family "tRNA". From Rfam's summary of the family: Transfer RNA (tRNA) molecules are approximately 80 nucleotides in length. Their secondary structure includes four short double-helical elements and three loops (D, anti-codon, and T loops). The record is from Rfam by way of RNAcentral. Lineage: Eukaryota; Fungi; Ascomycota; Dothideomycetes; Pleosporales.
GCCUGGCUGGCACAAUCGGCUAGCGCGUGAGACUCUUAAUCUCAAGGUUGUGGGUUCGAAUCCCACGUCGGGCU